UCAAAACUUCCACAAAAUACUGUGGUGUUGCCCAAACAGUUAAAAAAGGCUUUUAGUGUUUUCAUGCUGCAAGUUAUACUGCGAGCUGUGACCACAGUUUCUGCUCUGAGCACAAGUGUGACUUUGGACUAAACACACCCUGCGUGCAGCUGGGAGGAGUAAGCCAAAGCGGAGCUCAGAGAGUUGCCUCGGGCAAAAAAAGAAAAGAAAAUGAACAGGUCUAAAAUGCUGAUUAUUCCCCACUGCUGCGAGGCUGCAUGGACACACACAAAACUGAGGCUGCUCUCAUUAGCUCACACAGAUGUCAGUGCUAGCGCCAGACACUGACUGAAUGGAGCCAUGGCUAAACCAAGAGUGUGAUUUUCAUCUUUCGAUGCCAAUGAUCUAAAUAUAAUAUCAACCGCCCAGCUCGAACAUAAAGCCACCUUAGCUGGACAUGGAAACAAACAAACCUGAGCAGAUGAUUCACAGGGAGACAUGAAACAAGAAUGAGCUUAGCGGACAGCAGUUAUGAAAAAGUAGUUUGUGCAUAUCACACAAGUGAAUUGAAGCUGGAGGUGCUUCUUGCCGUCUGGGUGAACCUCCAACACACAUAAACAAGAGUUGGGGCAUGAGCCUCCCAGCUGAGAUCAAUAUCACAUUUGAUUAACGAGUGAUGCUAUUGGAUCAUUGCCCGGUUUCAUCAGCAGCUGGAGUCAGAUAUCUGGCACACGGCAGACCUCUGGUCAUACUCACACAUCAGCGUGCUAAAAGCCAUCACAGCGAGAAGUCC
This is a long non-coding RNA of Micropterus salmoides (largemouth bass), 772 nucleotides long. RefSeq lists it as uncharacterized. The record is from RefSeq and is a predicted model, not a curated record. Lineage: Eukaryota; Metazoa; Chordata; Actinopteri; Centrarchiformes; Centrarchidae. The transcript has 3 exons.